This 454-nucleotide ribosomal RNA is filed under the name Ischnocnema parva. RNAcentral describes it as "partial 12S ribosomal RNA". The record is from RNAcentral. Lineage: Eukaryota; Metazoa; Chordata; Amphibia; Anura; Brachycephalidae.
GACCCUAAAAAGUCCCCCAAACACAAAAAUUUAGUCCUGAUUUUAAAAUCAAUUUUUUCUUAACCUACACAUGCAAGUCUCCCCACCCCCGUGAGUACACCCCACCUCCCACCCGGAACAACGAAAUUGGUAUUAGGCACUAUAACUAGCCCAAAACACCUAGCAACAGCCACACCCACAAGGGACACAGCAGUGAUUAACAUUAGUAAUAAGUGUCAACUUGACCUAGUCAAAGAAAUAUAGAGCCGGCAAAUACGGUGCCAGCCGCCGCGGUUACACCAUAGGCCCAAAUUGAUUUUUUUCGGCGUAAAGCGUGAUUAAAGCUAUUAAUAAACUAGAGUUAAACUUAAACUAAGUAGUAACAUACUUGUCUCAAAGAACUACAAAAACGAAAGUUACUCUACCGUGUCAACUUGAACCCACGAUAACUAAGACCUAACUAGGAUUAGAUACC